Molecule: ribosomal RNA, 253 nt
Filed under: uncultured bacterium
Lineage: Bacteria
Description: partial 16S ribosomal RNA
Rfam family: Bacterial small subunit ribosomal RNA
Source: RNAcentral
UACGUAGGUGGCGAGCGUUGUCCGGAUUUACUGGGCGUAAAGGGAGCGUAGGCGGGCUUUUAGGUGAGAUGUGAAAUACUCGGGCUCAACUUGAGUGCUGCAUUUCAAACUGGAAGUCUAGAGUGCAGGAGAGGAGAAUGGAAUUCCUAGUGUAGCGGUGAAAUGCGUAGAGAUUAGGAAGAACGCCAGUGGCGAAGGCGAUUCUCUGGACUGUAACUGACGCUGAGGCUCGAAAGCGUGGGGAGCAAACAGG